GACGAACGCUGGCGGCGUGCCUAAUACAUGCAAGUAGGACGCAGUUGCGAACGGGUGAGUAACGCGUCGGUAACUGCCUAUUAGAGGGGGAUAACUAUUGGAAACGAUAGCUAAUACCGCAUACUAGUAGAUGGACCUGCGUUGUAUUAGGUAGUAGGUAGGGUGAUGGCCUACCUAGGCGACGAUACAUAGCCGGCCUGAGAGGGUGGUCCGCCCAACUGGGAAUGGGGAAAGGCCCAAGCUCCUUCGGGAGGCAGCAGUAGGGAAUCUUCGGAAAUGGGGGGAACCCUGACCGAACAAAGCCGCGGGGGUGUAGAAGGUUUUCGGAGGGUAAAGCUCUGUUGUGAAGGAAGCGGUACUUAACCAGAAAGGGACGGCUAACUACGUGCCAGCAGCCGCGGUAAUAC
RNAcentral lists this ribosomal RNA (407 nucleotides) under uncultured bacterium. Its description in RNAcentral is "partial 16S ribosomal RNA". It matches the Rfam family "Bacterial small subunit ribosomal RNA", at positions 28 to 526 of the family's 1533-position model. The record is from RNAcentral.